Molecule: non-coding RNA, 92 nt
Organism: Brassica napus (rape)
Lineage: Eukaryota; Viridiplantae; Streptophyta; Magnoliopsida; Brassicales; Brassicaceae
Source: Rfam
CUGAAGAAGUGAUGAUAAAUCAGUUUAAAUCUUAGGACACCUUCUGACACAUUAAUGUGUAUGAGAAUGACUUCUAAUAUUCUGAUCUUCAG